AACGAACGCUGGCGGCGUGGCUAAGACAUGCAAGUCGAACGGUCCGACGCUUAUUUGUUUACAAAUCAGCGACGGAUAGUGGCGAAAGGGUUAGUAAUAGAUAGGUAACGUACCCUAUGCUUCGGGAUAGCGUCAGUUGCUUUUAGCAACUUUCCGAAAGGGGCGGUAAUACCGAAUAAUAUCAUUUGUCGAUAGGCAAAUGAUCAAAGAUUUAUCGGCGAAGGAGCGGCCUAUCUCCUAUCAGCUUGUUGGUGAGGUAAUGGCUCACCAAGGCAGCGACGGGUAGCGGGACUGAGAGGUUGGCCCGCAACAUCGGGACUGAGACACUGCCCGGACCUCCACGGAGGGCUGCAGUAACGAAUAUUGCGCAAUGGGCGAAAGCCUGACGCAGCGACGCCGCGUGCGGGAGGAAGUCCCUCGGGAUGUAAACCGCUGUCAGGGGUAAGAAAGUCCGCUUCGGCGGAUUGAUCCCACCCAGAGGAAGUCACGGCUAACUUCGUGCCAGCAGCCGCGGUAAGACGAAGGUGGCUAGCGUUGUUCGGUGUCACUGGGCUUAAAGAGUGUGUAGGCGGAAAAGUAAGCGUCCUGUGAAAGCCCCCGGCUUAACCGGGGAACUGCUCGACGAACUGCUUUUCUUGAGGCAAGUAGGGGUGCAUGGAACUCUUGGUGGAGCGGUGGAAUGCGUAGAUAUCAAGAGGAACGCCAGUGGUGAAAACGGUGCACUGGGCUUGUUACAGGUCUUGAGAUGCCGUUAGGCAUCUUACGGACCCUCUGACGCUGAGACACGAAAGCGUGGGGAGCGAACGGGAUUAGAUACCCCGGUAGUCCACGCCGUAAACGAUGUCUACUAGGUUGCGGUAGUCCUGACACUGGCGCGGCCGAAGCAAAAGUGUUAAGUAGACCGCCUGGGGAGUACGGCCGCAAGGCUAAAACUCAAAGGAAUUGACGGGGGCUCACACAAGCGGUGGAGCAUGUGGAUUAAUUCGAAGCAACGCGCAGAACCUUACCUGGGUUUGACAUGCUUGGAUGCUUGCCGAGAAACCGGUUAAGCUGCCCUUCGGGGUGAAACUUGCACAGGUGCUGCAUGGCUGUCGUCAGCUCGUGUCGUGAGAUGUCGGGUUAAGUCCUUUAACGAGCGAAACCCUUACCGUUAGUUGCCAGCGGGUUAGGCCGGGGACUCUAACGGGACUGCCGGUGUUAAACCGGAGGAAGGUGGGGACGACGUCAAGUCAUCAUGGCCUUUAUGCCCAGGGCUUCACACGUGCUACAAUGGCGGCCACAGAGCGACGCAAGACCGUGAGGUGGAGCAAAUCGCAAAAAGGUCGCCUCAGUUCGGAUUGCAGGCUGGCAACUCGCCUGCAUGAAGUUGGAAUCGCUAGUAAUCGCGUAUCAGCUACGACGCGGUGAAUAUGUUCCUGAGCCUUGUACACACCGCCCGUCAAGUGAUGGGAGUUGGGAGUGCCCGAAGUCGGGUUGCUAACCUGGUUUACCAGGAAGCGCCUGCCGACGGUAAGCCUGAUGACUGGCACU
This 1530-nucleotide ribosomal RNA is filed under the name uncultured bacterium. RNAcentral describes it as "bacterial SSU rRNA". It matches the Rfam family "Bacterial small subunit ribosomal RNA". The record is from RNAcentral.